GACGAACGCUGGCGGCGUGCUUAACACAUGCAAGUCGAACGAUGAAGCCGGAGCUUGCUCCGGUGGAUUAGUGGCGAACGGGUGAGUAACACGUGAGCAAUCUGCCCUUGACUCUGGGAUAACUGCGGGAAACUGUAGCUAAUACCGGAUACGACACCUUGGGGCAUCCCAGGGUGUGGAAAGAAUUUCGGUCAAGGAUGAGCUCGCGGCCUAUCAGCUAGUUGGUGAGGUAAUGGCUCACCAAGGCGACGACGGGUAGCCGGCCUGAGAGUGUGACCGGCCACACUGGAACUGGGGCACGGUCGAGGCUCCUACGGGAGGCAGCAGUGGGGAAUGUUGCACAAUGGGCGAAAGCCUGAUGCAGCAACGCCGCGUGAGAGAUGAAGGCCUUCGGGUUGUAAACCUCUUUUAGCAGGGAAGAAGCGAAAGUGACGGUAGCUGCAGAAAAAGCACCGGCUAACUACGUGCCAGCAGCCGCAGUAA
Molecule: ribosomal RNA, 483 nt
Filed under: uncultured bacterium
Lineage: Bacteria
Description: partial 16S ribosomal RNA
Rfam family: Bacterial small subunit ribosomal RNA
Source: RNAcentral